RNAcentral lists this ribosomal RNA (198 nucleotides) under uncultured prokaryote. Its description in RNAcentral is "partial 16S ribosomal RNA". It matches the Rfam family "Bacterial small subunit ribosomal RNA", at positions 524 to 721 of the family's 1533-position model. The record is from RNAcentral.
UACGUAGGGUGCGAGCGUUAAUCGGAAUUACUGGGCGUGAAGUGUGCGCAGGCGGCUGAGCAAGUCGAGUGUGAAAGCCCCGGGCUUAACUUGGGAAUUGCGCUCGAAACUACUUGGCUGGAGUGUGGCAGAGGAGGGUGGAAUUCCACGUGUAGCGGUGAAAUGCGUAGAGAUGUGGAGGAACACCAAUGGCGAAGG